RNAcentral lists this long non-coding RNA (466 nucleotides) under Anas platyrhynchos platyrhynchos (common mallard). RNAcentral describes it as "lncRNA (ENSAPLG00000027061.1)". The record is from RNAcentral. Lineage: Eukaryota; Metazoa; Chordata; Aves; Anseriformes; Anatidae.
CUUUCCCAUAGGCAGAGGAUGGCAGUCAUUUCAGUAUCCACGGUGUGACAUGCAUUUACAAUUCCCUUGCAUCAGCCCUCCUAAGGGCUGACAGGUAGGUGCAGGAGAAUUGCAAAGGCAAUGUCAAGGUUUCAUUUAACUUGAAUGAUGCCUAAAUACCAUCAAAUGUAGCUGCUGGUCCCAAAGUCAAAGCACUCACCCAGCAAGACGUGGCUGUUGAACAGGGCAUGCUCCUGAAGGAAUCUCUUGGGCUGGGCCACACCUGCACUGUACUGUGGAGAAGGCAGAAGAUUGCAUGGAUAGCAGCUGGGAGGAGGGAUGCUUGGGCAGAAAGUCUAGUCCUGCAUGUAUAAGAAAAAACAGCUGCAAUCUGGCUCAAAAUUUCUGUAUUCUGUCCUUAAAUUUUGAGGUGUUCCAGGAUGAUGAAACAUGGUUUCUAAUCAGAAAUUAUCCAAACAGUCAAUGA